AACGAACGCUGGCGGCAGGCCUAACACAUGCAAGUUGAACGAGAACGUACCUUCGGGUGCUAUUAAAGUAGCGGACGGGUGAGUAACGCGUGGGAACCAACCCUAGAGUGGGGAACAACUGUUGGAAACGACAGCUAAUACCGCAUACGCCCUACGGGGGAAAGAUUUAUCGCUCUUGGACGGGCCCGCGUCGGAUUAGCUAGUUGGUGAGGUAAUGGCUCACCAAGGCUACGAUCUGUAGCUGGUCUGAGAGGAUGAUCAGCCACACUGGGACUGAGACACGGCCCAGACUCCUACGGGAGGCAGCAGUGGGGAAUAUUGGACAAUGGGGGAAACCCUGAUCCAGCCAUGCCGCGUGAGUGAAGAAGGCCCUAGGGUUGUAAAACUCUUUCACCUGUGAAGAUGAUGACGGUAACAGGGGAAGAAGCCCCGGCUAACUCCGUGCCAGCCGCCGCGGUAACAC
Molecule: ribosomal RNA, 463 nt
Filed under: uncultured bacterium
Lineage: Bacteria
Description: bacterial SSU rRNA
Rfam family: Bacterial small subunit ribosomal RNA
Source: RNAcentral